AACAGCCAGGCCUUCCCUUCUUGCUGCUUGGCAGGGCGGACCUGGCCUUGUGCCAGCUGCAGCACGUGGAGCCACAGCACCAAUCCUCUGACAGAGAACCCGGCCUGUUAUCUAACUUUGCAAAGGGAAGUUCUCCCCCAGUCUGGGAGCCAUAACCAGGGCUGCCAGAUGAGAACGGUGAGAAGAGCUCCACGCCCACAGCAAGUGCACUGUGAUUCCCCAGGACAUUGACUGUGGAUGGGUGAAGUCACACACUUGCAUGUCCUCAGCCUUCCAAGAGUGGAGCCAGAGAGGUCAGACUUAGGCAGAGAUGUCAGGCUGCAGAAUCUAGAACAAGCCAGCAAUUGAUUCUGAGGCUCAACUUCAAAACUGAACACAGUAAGCUCCAACAGGCCUCCUUCUGCAGCUCAGACACCCUGGGGCAAAUGAUAAGCUCUUGGUUUUCUGUCCUGUGCCUGAUCUCACAGAUCCAUGGCUGUUUUCCCAAAUCACAUCUUACACAGAGCUGGAAAGGUUCCCCAACGUCUGCUGCCCCAAGUCUUUUCCUCCUGAGUGAUCCUCCUCAGAUUAAUGAAAUUCCAUAUUAUAUAUUACAUAAUCCACAGCGCCAGAACUCACUCUGGAACCAGGCAGGCACUGAACUUGUGUUCUUUCUGUCUUGGCCUCUCAAAUGCAGCCAUUUGAGGUUUGUCGGACCAGGCUGGGCCAGGCUUCCUUUUUUUCCCCUCCCAGUACAAGAAAAGGGCCCUGUGCACGUUGGGCAAGUAUCUCUUGUUGUUGCUGUCAUUUUUAAAGACUAUAAUAGCUAUGGAUAUGUGUGUAUACAUAUAUUACACAUACACACAAACACAUAUAUGUAUAUAUUUUAAUUGUGUCUAGAGAGUUGGCUCAGCAGUUAAGAGUACUUGUUCUUGCAGAAGACCCAGGUUUGGCUCCCAGUAGCUACAUGGUAGGAACCUACCUGGGUAGCUCACAACCACCCUCACUACACUUCUAGGUGAUCCAGCUCUCUUUCAUGGUCCCUGCAGGCACCAGGCACACACAUAGUACACAUACACACAUGCAGGCAAACACUCAUAUACAUGAAAAUAAAACCUAUUUUUAAUUAUU
RNAcentral lists this long non-coding RNA (1110 nucleotides) under Mus spretus (western wild mouse). Its description in RNAcentral is "lncRNA (ENSMSPG00010050815.1)". Lineage: Eukaryota; Metazoa; Chordata; Mammalia; Rodentia; Muridae. The record is from RNAcentral.